UUUCCGUAGGUGAACCUGCGGAAGGAUCAUUCAUAAUAAGUGUUUUAUGGCACUUUUUUAAAUCCAUAUCCACCUUGUGUGCAAUGUCAGGGUUGGUCUCUUUUGAUCAGCCCCAAACAUCAACUAUUAUCUCAACUCUUUGUCUGAAAAGUAUUAUGAAUAAAACAAUUCAAAAUACAACUUUCAACAACGGAUCUCUUGGCUCUCGCAUCGAUGAAGAACAGC
RNAcentral lists this unclassified non-coding RNA (225 nucleotides) under plant metagenome. RNAcentral's name for it is "partial contains small subunit ribosomal RNA, internal transcribed spacer 1, and 5.8S ribosomal RNA". The stretch from base 179 to 225 matches the Rfam family "5.8S ribosomal RNA", at positions 1 to 47 of the family's 154-position model. The record is from RNAcentral.